Sphaeramia orbicularis (orbiculate cardinalfish) is the source of this 880-nucleotide long non-coding RNA. RefSeq lists it as uncharacterized. The record is from RefSeq and is a predicted model, not a curated record. NCBI's taxonomy places the organism in Eukaryota, Metazoa, Chordata, Actinopteri, Kurtiformes, Apogonidae. The transcript has 2 exons.
AAACCAAUCUGUAUUCAUAAAAAGCCCCAUUUAUUUCAAAGUCAUUUCAUCAACAAAUAGUACAAAUCUGCAUUGUUUGGGGGUAGACCCACACCAGAAACACAUGAAUAAAACAUUUAUUACAAUAAUUGCUCAGCGUCCGUUUCACACACACUGAAAGUCAUACCGUUCGACUCAUUUAGCUGGAGAACAAAUAAGGAACGUCUAGCGUACAUAAACAAUAAAUGAGUUAGUUAGACCAGUCCCGCUCUACAGGAUUACUGUGUAGAGUUAAAUCCAAUGUGGCUUUAGGAUAAUCCCAUCAGAACUGCAACAGUGCAAUGCUACUACAGAACACCCAAGCCUGUUAGCACUGAUGAGAGCCUAGUGAAGGAGAGGAGGAAAUAUGACAGAAGAGUGGAGCAAAAAAAAAAAAAAAAGAAAAAAAUACUUAACACACUGACUCCUAUUGUACAAGACGAACACUUUAACAGCCUGCUGCCAAUAAAGCUCUAUGUCUUGUGAUACUAGUUUGCAUUUUCUAACAACAACUGGUUGUAAACUAGAAACACAGAGAAUAAAAAAAGAUUAAAAUAUAAAAACACUAAGUCAUUUUUGCAUUGUGGAAAAUACUUUACCUGGAGUUCAUUGUCAUAUAAAGCUUUGAAUCCAUUGGAAAAAUAUCUCUCUAAGAAACUAAUACAAGCCUGAGUUACUCACAGUAAUUGUUAUGCAUGUCUGUAAGAUAAUACUUCGUUAAUAUGCACCUCAGCAGCCGCUUUUAAUUAGUGAAGACAUGUUUUGAUAACUUCCAUUCGCACAGAUAGCUUCUAAUAUUCUCCUGAUUCAUGGAAAAACAAGUGCUGACAAAAUAAACCCCCCCAAUUAGGCCUAAGGUACG